This is a long non-coding RNA of Pimephales promelas (fathead minnow), 774 nucleotides long. RefSeq lists it as uncharacterized. NCBI's taxonomy places the organism in Eukaryota, Metazoa, Chordata, Actinopteri, Cypriniformes, Leuciscidae. The record is from RefSeq and is a predicted model, not a curated record.
GGGAACAGGAAGUGUGUCACAGGCCUGUGUCUGCACAAUCUCUCUCAGGCUUCACAGAGCUCUCACAGUCAUCCACCUUCGGAGUCUCUCUUCUCUGUGAACUGGCUGUUCGGUUCGGCAUUUCCCUCUGAGCUUGACACAAUAUCAUGCAAUAAUUACUGAUUAUAGAUAAAGUGAAAACAUUUGAGGGACUUUAUGUGGGUGUGCAGAAUUUACGACCAGUCAACUCAUCGAAUUCUUCUGUGAAGAGACGUUUUACAAUGUCUGCUUUGUUAGAAGAAUUGAUUGUGUGUGCAAGUGCGUAGCUGACGUCAAUGCGUGUUAGAGGGCGGACGCUGAGAAGACAUGCUUUCACACUCUUCAGAGGCGAAAAUCUUGAUGAGUGGCAGAACGUGUGUUCUUUGUAGAGCAGCAUGUUCUCACUGCUCAGGAAUUUGCUGCAACAUUCACCAAUCAUCAUGACAGUCCUCACAAGAAACGUUCAUCACCAUCAUCCAGACCAGCAGAUCUGUGUGUAUCAGUAUCAGGAAGACAAGAUGAUGUCAAGUUGAUUUAGCUGUUUAACAGUAGGGCUGCAAUAGAUCACAUGUUCGCUACCGAUGAGUGUAGCAGGCCGCCGCAGUGACAUAAUCCCCACCUGAUUCAACUCUAUUUCUGAAAAUGAUGUCACCUUCAUGCUCAAGAUUCCUAUACUCUCCUUAUAAGGAGUUUCUUUACAGGGCACAGCUUUGUAAGAGUCAUUCUUACAGUACGAUAAAAAAAAAUCUUAUAAAU